This is a long non-coding RNA of Bubalus bubalis (water buffalo), 2622 nucleotides long. RefSeq lists it as uncharacterized. The record is from RefSeq and is a predicted model, not a curated record. NCBI's taxonomy places the organism in Eukaryota, Metazoa, Chordata, Mammalia, Artiodactyla, Bovidae. The transcript is spliced from 3 exons.
UUACUUCUUCCCCUUUCUUCUCUGUUUCCUAGGUGACUGCUCUGUCAUGUACAAAAUGGAUGGACUGGAAAACGUCACGGUUCUUGAGACCAUUUCUAGUAAUGACAUCUAAAAUGAUGGUAGUAAUGCCAACCUGUAUGAGAUGCUGGAGGUGGAGCAGCCCCCUGGUAACCAUGAGGAACCCUUAUAGGUCAAAACCACAGACUGAGGAUAUUCUUGAUGAUAGCAUAGGGAUCCUGGUUCUCUGACAGCCUUGUGGUGCCGCUACACCACCCUGCAUAAUUUACUACAUGUUCUUCAUUUGGUUACUGCUCUCAGUGGCUAACUGAUGAAACACCCUACCAGGAAAUCUAUCCAAGAAUGAGCUCCUUGAGGUUACCUGUGUAAUCAGAUUAAGGGUGAUUGCACACCUACUGUCCAACACAACUAGUGUCCCUAUAAGAAGAGGGAAAUUUCAACACAGACACACUCACCCAGGACACAUGGAUAAGGCCAUGUGAAGAUGAGGGCCAAGGAACUAGAAGGAACUCCAAGGAUUGCCAGUCAUCCCCAUAAACUAAAAGAGAAGCAGGGAACAGAUUCUCCCUCAGAAGGAAGCAACCCUGCCAGCACCCUGAUCUUGGACUUCUAGCCUCCAGAACUGUGUGAACGUGGGUUUUAUUGACCAGCACAUAAUGGUCCUUCAGACUUGAAAAUUCUGAUCUUGUCCAAGUCUCAUUCCCUUCCUUGGACUUUAGAGCCUCCAUGAGUUGUCUCCACGGGUAACCUUUCUCCUCCCUCUAGACAAUCAUUUCCUUUUCCAAAUUUACUUCCUUGUCAGGGGUUGGGAGAGUUCCAGCCUGGAGCUUCUUCAGCACAACACCAUCUGGCUAUUUCCUUGAAAACUGAGUAUCCUCCUUGCCCUUUGCUGAGUGCAUCAAGUGAAGGACUGACUUACAGAAAUGCUGACUGGAGGACCUACUUUCCAGAGGGACGACUUGUUGAUUUAACACCCCACAAGCAGCCAGAUGAGCUGACAAAUGGGAUGACCUUGUACACAAAGACUGACUCUCGGGAAAAUGACUAAGGUAGAGGAAGUCUUAGCUGUUCUGUAACCAGUUCAUCAGGCGGCCUGAAAGUCCCCAGGCCUCACCAACGCCCCAUCACUGUGCAGGUCCCCCAGGGAUUCCCACCCCACCUCCUCGUCCUCACCAAGCUCUGCUCAGCAGGAGUGUCAGGGAGCAUGCAGGAGUCCACCCCGAGCCAGUGGGGCCUGAUGAUGCUCGUGGGAGCGGCUGGGACCCUGAGGAGCCACGAAGGGGAACCGGGUGAGUCUCCACUGUCUGCACAGCCCCAAACAAUUGAACAACCGUCCCUACUGGGCCCCUUGGGCUCCAGCGGCCCUUGGGAGAAUCCUCUUUGUCAAGCAGAGGUUCUAGACCCCUGCUAGACCUUGAGACUCCCGGUCUAAUCAGCUUUAAGGACACUCCUCCUUCAAGCCGGUACCUGUGGACAAGGAGGUGAUGGGCAGAUUGGAAGGCACUGAUCAAGGAUCAAAAUGCCAAGUGUGCUCCCCUUAGGGUCAAUCAGAAGUCACCUUGGUACCCUCUUGUUUCUUGUCCUGUAAUCAAGGCCUCUAUCGUGAACAAAGCAAGACUCAGCUUUCCAGUUUCACGCCCAAACCCGUCACUGACCUAUUCCUGUAAUAGGGGCGCAUCCGGUACGCCAGCCAUUAACUAUGACAGUAGUGGUCCUGCUCAGCCAUUGGUCCUCAUUGCAGCAAGCCACGCCCCCCAAGUGAGCAACCGUUAGUAGUCCCGCCCAGCCAUUGGUUGGAGCUGCAGCGGGCCCCUCCCCCAAGCCAGCUACUGUUAGUGAGCCACCAGUUAGGGGUCCCUGUCAGUCUUUGGUUGGAAUUGCAGUAGCACCCUCCCCUCCCCUUUCCCUGUAUAGAAGGAGCCUGGAAUUCAGACUGACGGAAGAUGUUUUUAUCUGCCGCACUAUCUGCCAUCUUCUUGGUCUGAUAUCUCCCUGAUUAAAGUCCUUAGUCCUUGCCCCAACAAUUCCAGAUUUGUUGGCUUGCCCUGUGGUGAGCAAAACAAGUUUGGGCUUGGUAACAAUUCUGACCAAGCCACCCAGGAGUCUUGCUGCUGUGAUCAGCGGCCCUGGUUGGGGAAUUUUCAGGUAAGGUAAGGCCCUAGCAGCUGCCAGGAACACUUGCCCUGAUAAUUUUCCUUUCAAAAUUCCCUGAAGCAGCACCAGCUUGGCGGUUGAAACAAGGAGUGGACAUGUGGGAGUCGUCGGGCUCCAUACAAUAGGAUAAGUGGCUUCAGUGUGUACAGCCAGGGAUAUUCUCCCUUCUCAAUUCUGACUUUUCCUUAAGGGAAAAGCCAACUGGUUUUGCAUUUGAUUGGGGUGCCUUGCUGGAGAUGGAAUUGUUGACCUCUGCUUGACUCGUGAACCGGUUGGUUUGCUUUUUGCAUUCAUUCAUGAUGGAAUCUGCUUGCCCUUUUGGUAUCGGAGCAUUUGCUGUGCUUUUUAUGUUCUGUUGUUUUCUUAACUUAUAAAUGUGGGGAAAAUAUCAUCUGUCCCUAAGGAAAGCCCUUUGGGGGCAUAUUUUUUUUAAUAAAUGGACAAAAUAUA